GAUGAACGCUGGCGGCGUGCCUAAUACAUGCAAGUCGAGCGAACAGACGAGGAGCUUGCUCCUCUGACGUUAGCGGCGGACGGGUGAGUAACACGUGGAUAACCUACCUAUAAGACUGGGAUAACUUCGGGAAACCGGAGCUAAUACCGGAUAAUAUAUUGAACCGCAUGGUUCAAUAGUGAAAGACGGUUUUGCUGUCACUUAUAGAUGGAUCCGCGCCGCAUUAGCUAGUUGGUAAGGUAACGGCUUACCAAGGCAACGAUGCGUAGCCGACCUGAGAGGGUGAGAGGCCACACUGGAACUGGGACACGGUCCAGACUCCUACGGGAGGCAGCAGUAGGGAAUCUUACGUAAUGGGCGAAAGCCUGACGGAGCAACGCCGCGUGAGUGAUGAAGGUCUUCGGAUCGUAAAACUCUGUUAUUAGGGAAGAACAAAUGUGUAAGUAACUAUGCACGUCUUGACGGUACCUAAUCAGAAAGCCACGGCUAACUACGUG
This 497-nucleotide ribosomal RNA is filed under the name uncultured bacterium. RNAcentral's name for it is "partial 16S ribosomal RNA". It matches the Rfam family "Bacterial small subunit ribosomal RNA", at positions 28 to 507 of the family's 1533-position model. The record is from RNAcentral.